CCUACGGGAGGCUGCAGUGGGGAAUAUUGGGCAAUGGGCGCAAGCCUGACCCAGCAACGCCGCGUGAAGGAAGAAGGCUUUCGGGUUGUAAACUUCUUUUCUCAGGGACGAAGCAAGUGACGGUACCUGAGGAAUAAGCCACGGCUAACUACGUGCCAGCAGCCGCGGUAAUACGUAGGUGGCAAGCGUUAUCCGGAUUUACUGGGUGUAAAGGGCGUGUAGGCGGGAAAGCAAGUCAGAUGUGAAAACCAUGGGCUCAACCUGUGGCCUGCAUUUGAAACUGUUUUUCUUGAGUACUGGAGAGGCAGACGGAAUGCCUAGUGUAGCGGUGAAAUGCGUAGAUAUUAGGAGGAACACCAGUGGCGAAGGCGGUCUGCUGGACUGCAACUGACGCUGAGGCGCGAAAGCGUGGGGAGCAAACAGGAUUAGAUACCCUAGUAGUC
RNAcentral lists this ribosomal RNA (443 nucleotides) under uncultured bacterium. Its description in RNAcentral is "partial 16S ribosomal RNA". It matches the Rfam family "Bacterial small subunit ribosomal RNA", at positions 338 to 795 of the family's 1533-position model. The record is from RNAcentral.